Molecule: non-coding RNA, 72 nt
Organism: Phrynosoma platyrhinos (Desert horned lizard)
Lineage: Eukaryota; Metazoa; Chordata; Lepidosauria; Squamata; Phrynosomatidae
Source: the annotation of a GenBank genome assembly
ACCAGUGUGGCAUAGUGGUUUGAGUGUUGGACUGUGACGCCGGAGACCAGGGUUCGAUUUCCAGCUCGGCCA